RNAcentral lists this ribosomal RNA (494 nucleotides) under uncultured bacterium. RNAcentral describes it as "partial 16S ribosomal RNA". It matches the Rfam family "Bacterial small subunit ribosomal RNA", at positions 28 to 507 of the family's 1533-position model. The record is from RNAcentral.
GACGAACGCUGGCGGCGUGCCUAAUACAUGCAAGUAGAACGCUGAAGGAGGAGCUUGCUUCUCUGGAUGAGUUGCGAACGGGUGAGUAACGCGUAGGUAACCUGCCUGGUAGCGGGGGAUAACUAUUGGAAACGAUAGCUAAUACCGCAUAAUAUUGACUAUUGCAUGAUAGUCAGUUGAAAGGUGCAACUGCACCACUACCAGAUGGACCUGCGUUGUAUUAGCUAGUUGGUGGGGUAACGGCUCACCAAGGCGACGAUACAUAGCCGACCUGAGAGGGUGAUCGGCCACACUGGGACUGAGACACGGCCCAGACUCCUACGGGAGGCAGCAGUAGGGAAUCUUCGGCAAUGGACGGAAGUCUGACCGAGCAACGCCGCGUGAGUGAAGAAGGUUUUCGGAUCGUAAAGCUCUGUUGUAAGAGAAGAACGAGUGUGAGAGUGGAAAGCUCACACUGUGACGGUAUCUUACCAGAAAGGACGGCUAACUACGUG